Molecule: long non-coding RNA, 1653 nt
Organism: Ictalurus punctatus (channel catfish)
Lineage: Eukaryota; Metazoa; Chordata; Actinopteri; Siluriformes; Ictaluridae
Source: Ensembl
ACUGCCAGCAGAUGGCACUGCAGCGCGGCUUCUGACGGGACACGUGACUCUUGUUUUGGUUUGUUCGCUUCCUGUUUAGACAUUGGCUUAUGUGCGAGGGUAUAGCUUAAUUUGAGCCAGGUGUCCAUGUUUAGCUUGAUUAUGUUGAUUAUUUAAACCCCUCGGUGACUGCACACUUUGCGCAGUCUUAUACUUUGUACCAAAUGUCUGACGAUAGUGAACGCAUUAGCAUGCUAAGCGGUCUUAGUGUCAUGUUUGAAGCCAGAUUUGGCUAGACCGUGUUUCCUUGUGUUUGGUUGCUUGCUUGGUUUAUCAAUAAAGACUUUGCUCUACACCUGCAUCCGCUUCCAGUCCCGUUCCGUGACAUAAUACUGCGCCCCGAGCAUGGAAGCAGCAGAUCAACGUGAGCACCGAGUUCGAGAAGUUGGGCCGAUCGUUCUGGGAAGAGAGUAAGCGUAUCGACAAAAGACUUGCCCAGAUCGAUCGCCAGCUAAUGCAACGAGGGCUGCUGCAGCAAGCCGGCCCAUGCGCCAUAUCGCCACCCGCGCAAUUUCCCACGUCCCGGCUGCCGGAGAGUUAUGCCGUGCCGCGUGGGUAACAGAGCUACUCGAACUCCUGGAGCUUCCCACUUUAGGGGAAUUAUACUACGCCAUGCAGCCAGUAAAGAUACCCGUCCUCCUGGAGCCUCCCACUGCAGGGGAAUUGCACCACGCUGCCCAGCCCAGAACCGAAGGCUAGCCUAGAACUUAUUUUGGGUGGGGGUCAAUGACGACAGCAGAGCUCCAGCGUGAGGCCUAUGGGGAGGCCUCAGCUGUGGAGCUCCCGCCUGAGGUCAACAUGGCAACCUCAGAGCUACAGCUUGAGGCCUACGGGGAGGUCUCUGCUGUGUAGCUCCUGCACGUCAAAGAAGCUGUCCCGCCGCCCUGCCCUAAGGUUACUCAAAUAGUCACUAUUUACAAACGUGGUGGGGAGAAAAGCAUCUCAGAACACACAUCACGUCGAAACUUGAGGUUUGUGGGCAACAACAGCCUCUACUGAAGAACAGUGGUUACCAACUUUGUUCCUGGAGAUCCACCUUCCUGAAGACUUUAGCUCCAACCAUAAGGGUGCCCACCUGAUAAUCUAAUCUCUGCCUUAAGAAGUUCUUGAUCAGCUAAAACAGCAUGUUAGGAGGUUGGGGUCAGAGCACAGAGUCAGCCAUGAUAAAGGCCUUGUUCAAGGGCCCAACAGUGGUAGCUUGGCAGUGCUGGGACUUGAAGCCCCUACCUUCCGUUCAGUAACCCAGAGCCGUAACCGUCAAGCCUCCAGUGCCCCCACUGAAUUUAUAAUCAACUCAUUAACUCAUAAAGAUCUCAAUCCCACUGAACACCUCCAGGAUGAACCAGAACACCGACUACACCCCAGGCCUCCUCACCCAACAUCAGUGCCUUGCCUCACUAAUGCUCUUGUAGCUGAAUGAACGCAAAUCCCCACAACCACGCUCAAAAUCUAGUGGGAAGCCUUCCAAGAAGAGCAGACCUUAUUAUAACAGCAAAGGGGGACUAAAUCUGGAACGGGACAUUCAUCUAGCACAUAUGUGCUAGUUGAGUGUGAUAGUCAGGUGUCCACGUACUUUUGGCCAUAUAAUGUUUGUUCAGUAGAAAUUAUUAAGGG